This is a long non-coding RNA of Mytilus californianus (California mussel), 604 nucleotides long. RefSeq lists it as uncharacterized. Lineage: Eukaryota; Metazoa; Mollusca; Bivalvia; Mytilida; Mytilidae. The record is from RefSeq and is a predicted model, not a curated record. The transcript is spliced from 3 exons.
CUUUCAUUACUGUGAUUGUCUUUGCAGCGGAAGCCUGAUAAUUCUGCGAUUUAUUUCAUAUGAAACACUUUUAAAAGUACACAAUGCAUUAUAUUUUUCUGCUGGUGAACACCUUUUGUAUUGGACUUUUGCCAUUCAUUAAUGGAUAUGGAUUAAGUUACAACUAUUUUGACGAGAUGGCUCAGACCUACUGUGUAAGUCGCCUGAGCUCUCCAGCGUUUGUGUUUGCUAUUAGGCGAGAUUGUGGAGGAAUUGCACCUACCUGUAACGAUAUCUGCAAAAAUGCAAAAGAUGAUAUGCUGAGUGCUAUAGGAAAUCAAAGGAGAUAUGUUGCCUGUUUUGAUGCAAUCAAUAUUAAAAAAAAACAUGCAGAACUUCAAAUUAACCCUUUUAAUAAUCAACCUGAUGCUGGGAAAAUUAGUAUGAUAACUUACGGGUACGGAAGAGGAGGAUGUGCGUGGAGUCCCAACCAAUGUGGACCGAACUGGUGUUGUUGCAGGGCUUAUAAUUAAUAACUGAUGGCUGGCUAGCAACUGGAUAGAUAACUGCUAUUAAAAAAAACAUUUAAUUAAUUCAGUUUAAUUCAAUUAAAAUAAAAGAUAAA